UUAAAUUGAAGAGUUUGAUCAUGGCUCAGAUUGAACGCUGGCGGCAGGCCUAACACAUGCAAGUCGAACGGUAACAGGAAGCAGCUUGCUGCUUCGCUGACGAGUGGCGGACGGGUGAGUAAUGUCUGGGAAACUGCCUGAUGGAGGGGGAUAACGUACUGGAAACGGUAGCUAAUACCGCAUAAUGUCGCAGGACCAAAGAGGGGGGACCUUCGGGGCCUCUUGCCAUCAGAUGUGCCCAGAUGGGAUUAGCUUGUUGGUGAGGUAACGGCUCACCAAGGCGACGAUCCCUAGCUGGUCUGAGAGGAUGACCAGCCACACUGGAACUGAGACACGGUCCAGACUCCGUACGGGGAGGCAGCAGUGGGGAAUAUUGCACGAAUGGGCGCAAGCCUGAUGCAGCCAUGCCGCGUGUAU
This 417-nucleotide ribosomal RNA is filed under the name Salmonella enterica subsp. arizonae serovar 63:g,z51:- str. So 20/20. RNAcentral's name for it is "bacterial SSU rRNA". It matches the Rfam family "Bacterial small subunit ribosomal RNA", at positions 1 to 406 of the family's 1533-position model. The record is from RNAcentral. Lineage: Bacteria; Pseudomonadati; Pseudomonadota; Gammaproteobacteria; Enterobacterales; Enterobacteriaceae.